This 433-nucleotide ribosomal RNA is filed under the name uncultured bacterium. Its description in RNAcentral is "partial 16S ribosomal RNA". It matches the Rfam family "Bacterial small subunit ribosomal RNA", at positions 29 to 507 of the family's 1533-position model. The record is from RNAcentral.
AACGAACGCUGGCGGCAUGCCUAACACAUGCCAGUCGAACGAGACCUUCGGGUCUAGUGGCGCCCGGGUGCGUAACGCGUGGGAACCUUCCCUUAGGUUCGGAAUAACUCCCCGACAGGGGUGCUAAUACCGGAUAAUGUCUUCGGACCAAGGAUUUAUCGCCUUUGGUUGGGCCCGCGUUGGAUUCGCUAGUUGGUAGGGUAAAAGCCUACCAAGGCGACGAUCCAUAGCUGGUUUGAGAGGAUGAUCAGCCACACUGGGACUGAGACACGGCCCAGACUCCUACGGGAGGGAGCAGUGGGGAAUAGUGGACAAUGGGCGAAAGCCUGAUCCAGCAAUGACGCGUGAGUGAUGAAGGCCUUAGGGUUGUAAAGCGCAUGUACCCGGGAUGAUAAUGACAGUACCGGGAGAAUAAGCGCCGGCUAACUACGUG